CCCCUCAAGUUCUUGCUGACUAUGAGAAGCCCCCAAUUUACAAGCCACCUGUUUACACACCGCCAGUUUAUAAGCCCCCAGUUGAAAAACCACCAGUGUACAAACCUCCAGUUUACAAGCCUCCAGUUGAAAAACCACCUGUUUAUAAGCCUCCAGUUUAUAAGCCACCCAUUUACAAGCCUCCAGUGUAUAAACCUCCAGUUGAAAAACCACCGGUUUACAAGCCUCCAGUUUAUAAACCACCUGUUUACAAGCCUCCAGUGUAUAAACCCCCAAUUGAAAAACCACCCGUUUAUAAGCCACCAGUUUACAAGCCACCAGUGUACAAGCCUCCAGUGUAUAAGCCACCAGUUUACAAGCCACCAGUGUACAAGCCACCAGUUGAGAAGCCACCAGUAUACAAACCACCCGUUUAUAAGCCACCAGUUUACAAGCCACCAGUGUACAAGCCACCAGUUGAGAAGCCACCAGUGUACAAGCCUCCAGUGUACAAGCCACCAGUAUACAAACCACCAGUUUAUAAGCCUCCAGUUGAGAAACCUCCUAUUUACAAGCCACCAGUUUACAAGCCUCCUAUAGAGAAGCCACCAGUGUACAAGCCACCAGUGUACAAACCACCAGUGUACAAACCACCGGUGUACAAGCCCCCUGUUAAGAAACCUCCUAUUUACAAAC
This 675-nucleotide long non-coding RNA is filed under the name Glycine max (soybean). Its description in RNAcentral is "long non-coding RNA (GMAX_LNC001966)". The record is from RNAcentral. Lineage: Eukaryota; Viridiplantae; Streptophyta; Magnoliopsida; Fabales; Fabaceae.